GGAUAGAACUCUCCCCUCGGGGAGAGGGCGGGCCGUAUCCCACACCCUUUGUGAACCACAACUCUGUUGCUUCGGGGGCGACCCUGCCGUCAGGCGGCGGUGCCCCCGGUGGCCUUCAACUAAACUCUGCAUCUUUUGCGUCGGAGUCUUUUAAAGAAUUAAACAAAACUUUCAACAACGGAUCUCUUGGUUCUGGCAUCGAUGAAGAACGCAGCGAAAUGCGAUAAGUAAUGUGAAUUGCAGAAUUCAGUGAAUCAUCGAAUCUUUGAACGCACAUUGCGCCCCGUGGUAUUCCGCGGGGCAUGCCUGUUCGAGCGUCAUUUCACCACUCAAGCCUAGCUUGGUAUUGGGCGCCGCGGCGAUCUCCAUCGCUGCGCGCCUUAAAGUCUCCGGCUGAGCAGUCUGUCUCCGAGCGUUGUGACACAUGUCGCUAGGGAGUGCAGGUCUGCCGCGGCCGUUAAAUCUUUAUCAAAGG
RNAcentral lists this small RNA (475 nucleotides) under Mycosphaerella sp. 2120 FePP. Its description in RNAcentral is "eukaryotic LSU rRNA". The stretch from base 167 to 320 matches the Rfam family "5.8S ribosomal RNA". The record is from RNAcentral. Lineage: Eukaryota; Fungi; Ascomycota; Dothideomycetes; Mycosphaerellales; Mycosphaerellaceae.